CACUCCUGCGGGAGGCAGCAGUGGGGAAUUUUGGACAAUGGGCGAAAGCCUGAUCCAGCAAUGCCGCGUGAGUGAAGAAGGCCUUCGGGUUGUAAAGCUCUUUUGUCAGGGAAGAAACGGUGAAAGCUAAUAUCUUUUGCUAAUGACGGUACCUGAAGAAUAAGCACCGGCUAACUACGUGCCAGCAGCCGCGGUAAUACGUAGGGUGCAAGCGUUAAUCGGAAUUACUGGGCGUAAAGCGUGCGCAGGCGGUUUUGUAAGUCUGAUGUGAAAUCCCCGGGCUCAACCUGGGAAUUGCAUUGGAGACUGCAAGGCUAGAAUCUGGCAGAGGGGGGUAGAAUUCCACGUGUAGCAGUGAAAUGCGUAGAUAUGUGGAGGAACACCGAUGGCGAAGGCAGCCCCCUGGGUCAAGAUUGACGCUCAUGCACGAAAGCGUGGGGAGCAAACAGGAUUAGAUACCCCAGUAGUCCCAUGA
Molecule: ribosomal RNA, 475 nt
Filed under: uncultured organism
Description: partial 16S ribosomal RNA
Rfam family: Bacterial small subunit ribosomal RNA
Source: RNAcentral